This 498-nucleotide ribosomal RNA is filed under the name uncultured bacterium. Its description in RNAcentral is "partial 16S ribosomal RNA". It matches the Rfam family "Bacterial small subunit ribosomal RNA", at positions 28 to 507 of the family's 1533-position model. The record is from RNAcentral.
GACGAACGCUGGCGGCGUGCCUAAUACAUGCAAGUCGAACGAGAGCGCCCUGUGCAUGCACUGUUCCAUCUAGUGGCGAACGGGUGAGUAACACGUGGGUAACCUGCUCAUCAGAGGGGGAUAACAUCCGGAAACGGAUGCUAAUACCGCAGAGGUCUUCGAGCCGCAUGGCUUGAAGAGGAAAAGGGGCUCAAGCUUCUGCUGGUGGAUGUACCCGCGGUGCAUUAGCUAGUUGGUGAGGUAACGGCUCACCAAGGCCGUGAUGCAUAGCCGACCUGAGAGGGUGAUCGGCCACAUUGGGACUGAGACACGGCCCAAACUCCUACGGGAGGCAGCAGUAGGGAAUCUUCCGCAAUGGACGCAAGUCUGACGGAGCAACGCCGCGUGAGUGAAGAAGGUUUUCGGAUCGUAAAACUCUGUUGUUAGAGAAGAACAAGUGCAAGAGUAACUGUUGGCGCCUUGACGGUACCUAAACAGAAAGCCACGGCUAACUACGUG